This 1029-nucleotide long non-coding RNA is filed under the name Medicago truncatula (barrel medic). Its description in RNAcentral is "long non-coding RNA (MTRU_LNC002849)". Lineage: Eukaryota; Viridiplantae; Streptophyta; Magnoliopsida; Fabales; Fabaceae. The record is from RNAcentral.
AGGAGCGCACCAGGAUCAAUCCUAGCCGUCUAAACCAUCUCUAACAACCUUUAAGAUUCACGUCACAAAACUUGGAAACGGUUAUCGUUCUCCUCAGCUAUAUAAAUGUGAUUCCGUGUCACACUCCAUAUACACUUUCAUUUACCCUAAUUUUCACAUAUAAUACAUUUUUUUCAUAUACUGACUUGAAUGUCGAAGUGUUAACGUGUUUGAUGACACCAUUCUUCUCCGGCAACAAAAUUGGCUAUCCUCCACACCGAAGCAUCGCAAACUAUCGUUACAACAACCACAAUUCAUAGAGGACCGCCACUUCAUAUUUUUUAUCUUCACCGAACUGAUCAAUUUUUUUUGUCAUGCACAAAAGGUUCUUCAACACCACCCAAUCAAAACUUUUUCCUUAUCAUUUGUCACGCUUAAAUUGUUUGGCCCUUUAUUACUCAAAGCAACCACACAAUUGUCUACAAAAAGUGUCAUGUGCUUAGGAGAAACACUUGCUUAGAUACAUAUCUAAAUUUAAAAUUUUUGGACACAUUCAUACAAAUGCUUUUGUUUUUAAAAAGAAAUCAUCCAUACAAAUGCUUUUGUUUUUAAAAAGAAAUAGUUUGAUAAUGUUGAAUGAUGUAUCUAAUUUAUUUAUCUUUUAUUUUUCUUCAUUGUUAUGUAUGUACCUAAAUAAUUUUAUUUGUAUUUGUAUCUACGCAACACUAUCUACGUAUUUAGACUUUGGAGAGAGGUAAGAUGAGUCACUCUUUUCUAGGGAUGUCUCACGACAAGGUUGAUAAUUAGUUUUGAAAAAGGUCUAAGGGACAUGCAUCAUGAGAGUGAAAUAUAUAUAGAUGAUAUGAUGCUUACUAAUAGUAAAAAACACAUAAUUAUGGUGGAUUAUAUAAAGAAAAAAAUUUAGAUAAAAGAAAUUGGUAAUCAUGUUUUUUAUUUUAAGGUUGGUAAUCAUUUUAUUUUAUUUUUGACACAAGGUUGGUAAUCAUGUUAUUCAUGAUUAGUUUUUUCUUCAAUAUUUUAUAAUAGCAU